AGGACUAACGCUGGCGGCGUGCCCAACACAUGCAAGUCGAACGAGAGUAGCAAUACUCUAGUGGCAGACGGGUGAGUAACACGUGGUCAACCUACCUCUAUGUGGGGGAUAACUAGCCGAAAGGUUAGCUAAUACCGCAUACGAUCGUCGAGCGGCAUCGCUUGACGAUGAAAGGAGCAAUCCGCAGAGAGACGGGACCGCGUCCCAUUAGCUAGUUGGUGGGGUAAUGGCCUACCAAGGCGACGAUGGGUAGCUGGCUUGAGAGAGCGACCAGCCACACUGGGACUGAGACACGGCCCAGACUCCUACGGGAGGCAGCAGUGAGGAAUUUUCCGCAAUGGGCGAAAGCCUGACGGAGCGACGCCGCGUGUGGGAAGAAGGCCUUCGGGUCGUAAACCACUGUCGAAGGGGAAGAUAUUGACGGUACCCUUGGAGGAAGCCCCGGCUAACUACGUGCCAGCAGCCGC
RNAcentral lists this ribosomal RNA (467 nucleotides) under uncultured bacterium. RNAcentral describes it as "SSU rRNA". It matches the Rfam family "Bacterial small subunit ribosomal RNA", at positions 26 to 518 of the family's 1533-position model. The record is from RNAcentral.